UAAGUGGCCUCAUGAGAGCCAACGCCCUAUUCACCGUUCCAGUCACCAGCUGAGAUCAUCUGUGGGCUGCAGUUUCUCCACACCAGAGGCAUCAUACACAGGGACAUAAAACCAGCCAAUAUCUUAAUGAACAGCGCCGGUCACUUGAAGAUCGCCGAUUUUGGUCUUGCCGUGAUGAACAUCUUUGGGGAUAAGAAGAUCUCAGAAUAUGCCGGAACUCUUAGAUACAUGGCUCCUGAGAUUCUUCUACGGAAGCCCUACAACACGGCAGUGGACUGGUUCUCAGCUGGUGUGAUGAUAUAUGAGAUGGCUACUGGCAAAUAUCC
This is a long non-coding RNA of Bufo bufo (common toad), 326 nucleotides long. RefSeq lists it as uncharacterized. Lineage: Eukaryota; Metazoa; Chordata; Amphibia; Anura; Bufonidae. The record is from RefSeq and is a predicted model, not a curated record. The transcript has 3 exons.